This 380-nucleotide ribosomal RNA is filed under the name uncultured eukaryote. RNAcentral's name for it is "partial 18S ribosomal RNA". It matches the Rfam family "Eukaryotic small subunit ribosomal RNA", at positions 592 to 976 of the family's 1831-position model. The record is from RNAcentral.
CAAUAGCGUAUAUUAAAGUUGUUGCAGUUAAAAAGCUCGUAGUUGGAUUUGUGGCGUACGGUGGGUUCCGGGCACUUGUUGUCUGAGUAACUUGCUGUUGCCAUCCUUGGGUGGAACCUGUGUGGCAUUAGGUUGUCGUGCAGGGGAUGCCCAUCAUUUACUGUGAAAAAAUUAGAGUGUUCAAAGCAGGCUUAUGCCGUUGAAUAUAUUAGCACGGAAUAAUGAGAUAGGACUUUUUUGCUAUUUUGUUGGUUUGCGCAAAGAGGUAAUGAUUAAUAGGGACAGUUGGGGGUAUUCGUAUUCCAUUGUCAGAGGUGAAAUUCUUGGAUUUUUGGAAGACGAACUACUGCGAAAGCAUUUACCAAGGAUGUUUUCAUUAA